GCCUGGGUGGCUCAAUAGGUUAAGUGUCUGACUUGGGCUCAGGUAAUGAUCUCACGGUUCGUGGGUUUGAGCCCCACAUCGGGCU
This 85-nucleotide transfer RNA is filed under the name Felis catus (domestic cat). It matches the Rfam family "tRNA". From Rfam's summary of the family: Transfer RNA (tRNA) molecules are approximately 80 nucleotides in length. The record is from Rfam by way of RNAcentral. Lineage: Eukaryota; Metazoa; Chordata; Mammalia; Carnivora; Felidae.